Malania oleifera is the source of this 106-nucleotide small nucleolar RNA. The record is from RefSeq and is a predicted model, not a curated record. NCBI's taxonomy places the organism in Eukaryota, Viridiplantae, Streptophyta, Magnoliopsida, Santalales, Ximeniaceae.
ACCUAAUGAUGUGGACAUUUACAAAGGAGGCCCCUAAAUCACUCCCAGGUCUCAAAGAAAAGUUCCCCAUCCGUCUGUGUGAUACUUAUGAUUGCCCUUCAUAGCU